Molecule: long non-coding RNA, 1679 nt
Filed under: Olea europaea subsp. europaea
Lineage: Eukaryota; Viridiplantae; Streptophyta; Magnoliopsida; Lamiales; Oleaceae
Source: RNAcentral
GUCACCCUACCUUCCAUCUUUACUCAUCUCUUUCACAUUGAAAUCUCCAGACUCCAGGUGUUGUCGUACCAGACCUUAGUUGUUUGAGAUAGUCUCAAUUUUGGGAAUCUCCUUCCCCACUAUUUCAAGGUAGUUGAAAGCUUUAUCAAGUUGAAUUUAUGGGAUUGUUUAUUUAGAUGUAAUUUUUACCCCAAAUUUGUCUUUAUCUAUUGGAUAUUGAUUUUUAUGUUUAAAUAUGUAAAAUUUAUUACCCAGUUCUUAAUGAUUUUUAUUCAAUCACUUGUUUAAAUAUGUAACAACCGGGGAAUUUGGGGAUAAAGCUUUCCAAACAAAAAGCGUAAAUUUGUGGUCCUAAAUCCAUUGCUAAGGAAAUGACAUUUGUUGGUGAAGUGACCGACUUCUUUAAGAAUUUCAGUGCAGAGAUUUUAAAAGUUGAUUAAAUUCUUAUGUAUUUGUUAGGUUGAUGAGAGUGGAGGUAGUUUCUAUGGAGUAUCUUUGGCUUAAAGCUUAAUUUCCUUGAUAAACUUUAUAUUUAUCUAGUCUAAUUUGUGGAUAUAUAUGUAGCAAAAGUUCUUUAUUAGACAAGGAUUCCUCUAAAUUAUUGUAGGUGCUUGUGGGUUCGGAAGACCUUUGAAGUGGAAAAGAAUUAGUUUUCCAUAUUCUUCAUUCACUAUUGAGUAGAUAAAGAAUGCAAACACCAAAAUCAAGGUGAUUGUCCCUCAUGAGUUUAUAUUCUAUUCGUGGUAUUGCACUAGAGGAAAUCUUUGAAAUUCCCUUCCUCCCUCCUUAAAUAUUUCUCUUAACCAUAUUCAUUACCAAGUUCUCAAUUAAUUUCUCAAUAGAUUGAAGUAAUUUGAAGGAGUGUGUGACUACUCCAAUUUUACCCAUUUUAAUUUAGGUUUGAAUUAAUUUUUUGUAAUUUCAGUUUGUGUGAAACUUCAUUGUCAGAAUAACUUACCUAACUGAAACUUGAUUUCUAUGAUGUCCUAAUAUAAUUGUUUUUCACUUCAUUUUUAUUGUGUUUUAACAAUUAUAACUUAAUAGUGUUGAUAUAUAUUGUAUUAUCACAGAUAAAAUUGGACACACUUAUGAACGUUAUCUUGUCGUCUUAAAUUUAGAAUAUUUUAAAAUAUGUUUUUUAGAUGAUUUAUUUAGACUUUUUUUUAUAGAGUUUCAGAGGCAAAUCGAUGUGGUGCAAGCCAAUGCGGAGAAUCCAAAAAAAGGUCAUAUGUCCUCGCAAAUGUUGCAAAAGCCGAUUCCACCAACUCUUUGAUAUAAUGUAUGGACAUUUGAUCAUUAAUGGUGUGGAUCCUACAUAUACUAUCUGGGUCUUUCAUGGUAAAAAUCGAAUGCAGGAUCAUUACCUCCUUAAAAUGUAGAAAAUUUAGAAACUUAUAGGAUGUAUAACGAUGCUUUUUUUUAGGAUGACAACAUUGUAGAACCCGAGAAUGAAAAUAGAGAGAGAAUUUUCAAAGUUAUAUGACGGCAUCGGAGUUUCUUUCUAUCUUGGUUGUACAAAGUAUACAAGCAUAUUUGCAAUUGUUAUCAUAUACAAGCUUAAAGCUACACAUGGUACAUCGGACACUGAUUUCAAUGAACUUCUUGAUAUUAUCCGAGAUAUGCUAUCACAUGGGAACAUCCUUCCCAAUUCUUGCAAUUCAAUGAAAAUGUUAUUGAAC